RNAcentral lists this ribosomal RNA (443 nucleotides) under uncultured bacterium. Its description in RNAcentral is "partial 16S ribosomal RNA". It matches the Rfam family "Bacterial small subunit ribosomal RNA", at positions 338 to 795 of the family's 1533-position model. The record is from RNAcentral.
CCUACGGGGGGCAGCAGUGGGGAAUAUUGGGCAAUGGGCGCAAGCCUGACCCAGCAACGCCGCGUGAAGGAAGAAGGCUCUCGGGUUGUAAAAUUCUUUUCUUAGGGACGAAGAAAGUGACGGUACCUGACGAAUAAGCCACGGCUAACUACGUGCCAGCAGCCGCGGUAAUACGUAGGCGGCAAGCGUUAUCCGGAUUUACUGGGUGUAAAGGGCGUGUAGGCGGGAAAGCAAGUCAGAUGUGAAAACCAUGGGCUCAACCUGUGGCCUGCAUUUGAAACUGUGUGUCUUGAGUACUGGAGAGGCAGACGGAAUUCGUGGUGUAGCGGUGAAAUGCGUAGAUAUUAGGAGGAACACCAGUGGCGAAGGCGGUAUGCUGGACAGCAACUGACGCUGAGGCGCGAAAGCGUGGGGAGCGAACAGGAUUAGAUACCCCAGUAGUC